RNAcentral lists this ribosomal RNA (255 nucleotides) under Bacillus sp. OG2. RNAcentral describes it as "partial 16S ribosomal RNA". It matches the Rfam family "Bacterial small subunit ribosomal RNA", at positions 1 to 245 of the family's 1533-position model. The record is from RNAcentral. Lineage: Bacteria; Bacillati; Bacillota; Bacilli; Caryophanales; Bacillaceae.
UUAUAUGGAGAGUUUGAUCCUGGCUCAGGACGAACGCUGGCGGCGUGCCUAAUACAUGCAAGUCGAGCGGACGGAUGGGAGCUUGCUCCCUGAAGUCAGCGGCGGACGGGUGAGUAACACGUGGGCAACCUGCCUGUAAGACUGGGAUAACUUCGGGAAACCGGAGCUAAUACCGGAUAAUGCACAGCCUCUCAUGAGGCUAUGCUGAAAGAUGGUUUCGGCUAUCACUUACAGAUGGGCCCGCGGCGCAUUAGC